AUCGUAGAAUUAAAAACUAAAGUGUAUCCUAAAGUGCUUUAUUGUUAAAUAUAAGCUUAAAGAAAAAAUAAUUUCUCGCAUGAAAGUCACCAAAAUUAGCUUUAGAUUAAUAAAUAAUAAUAUAUAAUUUUAAAAAUAAAAAUCGUAGUAAAUAAUCAUAUAUCGUUUACAAAAUAAUUUUUAAAAAAUAAUAUCAUUUGGAUAAUAAUUUAUGAAUGUAUGAAAUAUCUAUCCAUAGAUAUAGGUAUAGAAUCGAAUGUUAAUUAAAAAAGUAGGUGAUAAUAUGUAGUUGAUCCUUUAAAUCAAGUAGUUCAUAUCCUUAAUCGUAUAUCCUUAAAAGUAAUUUUUUUCAAUUUCAUAUUAUGUUCUGAUUUUAUAAAUUUAGUUGAUAAUAUUUAUGAUUUAAUAGAUUAAUAAAUAAUCAUAAAUCCUUGAUAAUAUGUAGUUGAUUCUAUAAAAAGUAGUUGAUAUCCUUAAUCGUAUUUUCUUAAAAUUUUAUUUUUUUCAAUUGUAUAUUAUGUUCUGAUUUUAUAAAUGUAGUUGAUAAUAUUUAUGAUUUAAUAGAUAAAAAAAUAAUCAUAAAUAUUUUUUUAAAAAAUAUCGUUAAAUACAUAAGCUAAGCUAUGUUUGUUUUUUUUUGGAGGGUUUGCUUUGGAUGCAAAGGAUGGUGGCCAUUGAACAAAUAAUGUGAGAUGAAAAGAUGAUUAAAGUAGUGGAUUAAACUCGAAGCAAUUGAAGGAGUAAGGGCUGGGGGCAGUUUGGGAGUACAAUUGUACAACAAAACAGUUGGACAAAGAUGUAAAAUGUGAUAAUAUCAUCAUAUCUACUAUGAACUAUGAAGAUUACAUUGUAAUCUGACAUGUGGGAAGAAGAUAACAGCAAUUGAGCCUCUCUCUUGGUAAGAUAUACUAGUUGUCAUCUGCCCUUUCA
Long non-coding RNA from Beta vulgaris subsp. vulgaris (sugar beet), 930 nucleotides. RefSeq lists it as uncharacterized. NCBI's taxonomy places the organism in Eukaryota, Viridiplantae, Streptophyta, Magnoliopsida, Caryophyllales, Amaranthaceae. The transcript is spliced from 2 exons. The record is from RefSeq and is a predicted model, not a curated record.